GAUACAAAAUAUAUAAAAACGUGAUUAGCUGAUUUAUUUGGAGUGAUGCUUUCCAAAUCUGGUGACUAAAGUAGAUAAUACCUAUCAGCUAGAUGAUGGAUUCAAAAUGGGAACUUCGUGGAAAUUGAUUGCCAUGCUAUAAAUUCUCAUUUUUAGCCAUGUGAAGAACAUUUACAGGUCUAGGAACUCCAUCAGCUUGAGUGUAGUCAUCUGCUUUGAAAAUGAAACAAUAAUUUAUGAAAUGUACCCUUCCAUCACUUUUGUCUAUAUCCUCAUUCUUGUAAACUAAUCUGAUUGGAACUUAUUAUUUUAGGUCGGAUCUGUGACAGCUAUAUGCUUCAUUUGUUUCCUAAUAAGGUGCUUUGUGGUAAGGUCAAAAUUUCCUUUCUUUAUUACAUUUAUGCAAGUUAGUGGCUGUUUAAAAUUUGACAUUAAUGAGUUGAAUAGAUUUGAUCAUUUUGCUCAUCUCUGGUUGUAUCAAUGGUGUUAAUAGAAUCUCCGUGCUUCUGCAAGUAUAGAAAGCUCUUUUUUCUUAGUCAUUAUGCAUCAUUCACGUAACGAAUGCAUUUGUUUUUAUUGUUAUUGCUCCCAGAAGAAAGGGGAAGGGAGCUGGGAUGAAGCCAAUAUCUCCCUUCCCUCAUCCAUAUAAAGUGUGUGAAUCAUCUUGUUCUCUCCUUUAGAAUGACAUCCUUUUAGUCCCGUAGUUUUCAUGGUUUCCAUGUUUUGAGCAUAAUUCUGAGACAAUCAUCACCUUUAGAAUGACAUCCUUUUAGUCCGUCUUGGGCUUGGUGUGUUUGAAUAUUUCACUACUUGUUUAUAUAUAUGACAAGUGUAAUCUACACAGGUCCGUUGAAGAUCUUAUGAUUCAACUCAUUUUACUUAUAUUAGCAGUCUCGUUUAUUACUAAAUGAGUUUUGUACCCAAAGGGAUGUUCAGGAUUCGAAAUAACCUCUCUUUUAACUUUUGAGGUUUAUCUCUACUUCCCUUGCCUAGCAAUGGGUGGGGAAAACUUAUACAUAUUUUUAUCCAUCUCAUCAUUACCUCAACAGAUAAUUGGUGCAGCGGCAGUACUUGGAUUUGGAGUGAGCAAAUUUUCUCCAUCUGAUACAAAAUAUAUAAAAACGUGAUUAGCUGAUUUAUUUGGAGUGAUGCUUUCCAAAUCUGGUGACUAAAGUAGAUAAUACCUAUCAGCUAGAUGAUGGAUUCAAAAUGGGAACUUCGUGGAAAUUGAUUGCCAUGCUAUAAAUUCUCAUUUUUAGCCAUGUGAAGAACAUUUACAGGUCUAGGAACUCCAUCAGCUUGAGUGUAGUCAUCUGCUUUGAAAAUGAAACAAUAAUUUAUGAAAUGUACCCUUCCAUCACUUUUGUCUAUAUCCUCAUUCUUGUAAACUAAUCUGAUUGGAACUUAUUAUUUUAGGUCGGAUCUGUGACAGCUAUAUGCUUCAUUUGUUUCCUA
RNAcentral lists this long non-coding RNA (1455 nucleotides) under Olea europaea (common olive). RNAcentral describes it as "long non-coding RNA (OEUR_LNC007397)". The record is from RNAcentral. Lineage: Eukaryota; Viridiplantae; Streptophyta; Magnoliopsida; Lamiales; Oleaceae.